RNAcentral lists this ribosomal RNA (2101 nucleotides) under Triticum aestivum (bread wheat). RNAcentral describes it as "partial small subunit ribosomal RNA". The record is from RNAcentral. Lineage: Eukaryota; Viridiplantae; Streptophyta; Magnoliopsida; Poales; Poaceae.
GAAACGGUAUAUCGAAGUCAAUGGCAUUGCUGCAUCAUGACGACAUUCGACCUAAACAGACCUGACUUCGCUACCACUAGACCACGCGACCACCGAGGGCGCCAGGCAGUGCGGCGAGGACUCGGCACUGCACAGGGAGAGCGCCGCGGGGCCGGCAGACGACGGUUCGCCCCGUGUGCAUGGUUCUGUGCUAGGUGUGCUGUUCGAAGAAGUUGAGCGGGGGUGAGCUGAGGUAGCCGCGGCGAGCAGGAAGGAGAAGGCGGGGCCGGUCGGCGGAGAAGGAGGAAGGAAGGGGCCGAGUCGGGCGGCGUAGACGGCAGCAGGGCAAGGCGGUCGGUCGGUAGUAGAGUCUCAUCAGCAGCAGCAGCACCAGCAGACCGACUCUUCCUACCCUCUCAGCGGCGGUGGUUGCGGCGGCGGCGGCCGCCGCGGCCGGUUCCACAUGAUGCUCCCCACGGGGCCCACGCGGUACCUCGCCUCCUUCCUCUCGUCGUGCCCCUGGGGCAUGUUCCUCGAGAAGAAGCAGCCCUAGUGGUGGAAACGUAGUAGAAACGGCUAGUGCAGCGACAAGGGCAAAGAGAUGAAGUACUAUGUUCUGAACGUGCAACGAGUUUCUCUUCUUCUAUAACCUAAGAUACGACCUAAAGAACCACGUAGUAUAUACCAACCAUCUCCAAAGCGUAGCUAGAAAACCCCGUACCAACGUCUAGCGUAGCCUGCCUUCGGACAUUAACAUAAAAGUGAAAAGUGCCAGUAACACAAGUUGUGAAAUAAGCCUAAUUCACACUUUAUAACCUACCGAUAGUGAUGUUCCAACGAAGAACCACGUGAUUUGCCUAAAGAUCGUGGUUAGUUCCGAAUGAGGUAACUUCAAACGGCCCUACUGCUUGUUCGAAACCCGUAUAGUUAACAGUUAUGUCGUACCCCUAAUCCGGAAUAUUAACCGGGUCGUUAACCCCCGAUGGAACGAGUCGGUCGGUUUGUUAUAGGUGUGUAAAAGGUACUGUUCAGUUGCAAACCCUCCAAGGGUAUAGAAGAAGGUACAGAAACGUAUAGUUAAAAGCGUUGUAAGCGGGAGUAUUCGACGUAUACCGAAGGCCUUUGUGAUGUGUUCGUGCGGUUCAAACUUUACUCUCGACUUUGCCGACUUCGACCGUGUUGAGUCCUUUCAUGUCUCAGUGGAUUCUUCUCGAAUACCUUUUUAACCGGCAACUACAGCAGGUAAUAGUGUAUAACACAGAAGAGGGAAGUACUGUGACGUAUAUCACUCUAUAAAAGGGACACCUGACAUUCACCAUCUUUUAUACCACCUGAAUCGAAAAGUAGAUUCCUACAGCCAGUUCAAGAAUGUCACCGUCCACAGUCAGAAGAACAUAUGGUUUAGAAACAAAUAGCAACCGAGUUAUUAUGUGAUCCUGGACAUUUGAGUUGGGCGUAACGUAGACGGGACAGAUAUGGUUAAUAACGACGAAUAGGGAAAUACUGUGCGAACAGUCCUUAUUCUGAACCAGACCGAGAGAUAUAACGUCGUUACUAAUUUUCGCAAGAGCGAUAUUGAUCUCAAAGGCCGUGAAGAGAAGAUGUUUUGUUACGGCACGGUGUUCCCGUUUCUCCACGACGCUUACCUUAUCGGUGUUGUAAUUACAGGAACAAGUUCAGACAACGAGGUCGUCCCCGUCCAUAAGAUAAGAGCACCCGUGUCUUCGCGGUCGUACGUCGCAAGAAAGGUCCACUAGUCUACCACAAGGAAGAUGACUUGCACUGUCUCCAGGAACCCGAGAACGACUGGAAGUUCGGAAAGGACCGUCAGGGGGUUGUGAUGUUCAUUUUGGACUGUCUCAUGGACACAUCCAUAACGAUAUCUCGUCACGCACACAAACACACCGUGACCGUACGAUAUUCUCGCUUCUGACUUCUCAGAAGAAAAGAACAUGAACAUCUACAUCGUCACAACAACCGUGAACACUGGAUUUAGUUAGUCAGCCGGUUAACGUCAGAACCGUACGAGACAACGAGAGGAUCAACAACAAUCGGAUACCAUGCAUGACAUCAUUCCUCCUUAUCUCCAUUGGACUUACUUAGAAAGUUAAAGAACUACGUU